Long non-coding RNA from Micropterus salmoides (largemouth bass), 1108 nucleotides. RefSeq lists it as uncharacterized. Lineage: Eukaryota; Metazoa; Chordata; Actinopteri; Centrarchiformes; Centrarchidae. The record is from RefSeq and is a predicted model, not a curated record. The transcript is spliced from 3 exons.
AUAGUGAUGGUGAUUUGCGGAGCUCUCUGGCAGAUUGGGCAGUUGAAUUUGGUAUUUCUCUAAUAGCUCUGUCAGCGCUUCUCAGCAUUCUCAAAAUCUACCAUCCCUCUCUGCCAAAGGAUGGACGAACACUGCUGAAAACAAAAACAUGCUACAACAUUAACAGUGUAGCUGGUGGUGUGUUCCACUAUUGUGGAAUUCUGAAUUCUAUCAGGAAAAUUUCAGAUAAAGUGUGGUCUACAGUGCCAGACGGACAUGCUUUUAAACUGCAGUUGAAUUUUGAUGGUCUGCCGCUUUGCAAGAGUACUAGUACACAGUUUUGGCCAAUUCUUGGUAUGUUGCAAAGAUACACCAAGAAACCAAUGUUGAUCGGACUGUUUUGUGGUACUUCUAAGCCAAAUUCGUUGGCCGAGUAUCACAUUGCCCAAUGCUCCAAAGAUCCCUAGGCAGUACAAAACUCCUACAUUAAAGCCAGGGAAGCAAGGCCAGAACCUCCAGCCAAGUGGCAACAGCAGUUCUGACUUCCCACCAAGUGGCAACAGCAGUCCUGAGCCAAGCCCAAGUCAGCACUCCUGUACUUCCAAGUUUCCUUCAAGCUGUCACACCAACACUGAGAACCGGACGCCGAGGCAUGCCAGCACCGAGAGCCGCCGGACGCCGAGGCACGCCAGCACCGAGAGCCGCCGGACGCCGAGGCACACCGAACGAUCUACAGUAUACUCCCAUCAAGGCACCCCGAGGCACACCAGACCAGGGAGCAGACAUCCAGUCUGCAAACUUCCCUUCUGCGUAGUAUAUUAACAAAACAGGAAAUGAUGAUGGACCAACUGCGCAUCAUCUUUAAGACCCCACAGGGUAUGAAAGCGACUGAUGAGGCAGAGAUAGGCCUGGAUCGAAAUUUGUUGCCCGUCAAAGACGUCAGUUCUCUUCAGAACCUGGAGGAACAACUGCAGAGUAUUCCUGACCUCCAGAAACAGUUGGUGAACACGCUGGCUCUCAAAGGGGGGACUGACAUUCGUGAGUGUGUUUGGAGGAUUAUGCACGCAAUGAUUACAAAAUCCUUGGCGAAGAAUAUCAACAUGAGAGGAAUAAAUGGAAAGAUUGGCUU